AUUGAACGCUAGCGGGAGGCCUAACACACGCAAGCCGAGCGGGAUUUGAGACUAGCUUGCUAGUCUUAAUGAGAGCGGCGUACGGGUGCGGAACACGUGUGCAACCUGCCUUUAUCUGGGAGAUAGCCUUUCGAAAGGAAGAUUAAUAUCCCAUAAUAUAAUGAUUGGCAUCAAUUAUUAUUGAAAGCUCCGGCGGAUAGAGAUGGGCACGCGCAAGAUUAGAUAGUUGGUGAGGUAACGGCUCACCAAGUCGAUGAUCUUUAGGGGGCCUGAGAGGGUGAUCCCCCACACUGGUACUGAGACACGGACCAGACUCCUACAGGAGGCAGCAGUGAGGAAUAUUGGACAAUGGGUGAAAGCCUGAUCCAGCCAUCCCGCGUGAAGGAUUAAGGACCUAUGGUUUGUAAACUUCUUUUCUACAGGGAUAAACCUACUCUCGUGAGAGUAGCUGAAGGUACUGUAGGAAUAAGCACCGGCUAACUCCGUGCCAGCAGCCGCCGUAA
This 503-nucleotide ribosomal RNA is filed under the name uncultured bacterium. Its description in RNAcentral is "partial 16S ribosomal RNA". It matches the Rfam family "Bacterial small subunit ribosomal RNA", at positions 30 to 523 of the family's 1533-position model. The record is from RNAcentral.